GCCAGGGCCACAGCUCAUCGCAGGCGGGGCAGGUGAGCGCAGCCGGACGGAGCUCCUCCCUGCAGCCCUUCCACCGCGAGCCGGAAUUCGGGCUCCGCGUUCCUGUCCAGGAGAGGAAGGCUGGUGAGGGGAUAGAGAACAGAGGCCUGGGAGAGCGUGGGAAGGUCACUUUCCUCCAGAAGUUUUCCCUGACCGUCCAUCUCGGUGGAUGUCCUUCCCCCAGCCCAGCGCACACCACAGCGCUUUCUCGUUGCCUGCCGGUGGGAACAACAAGGUAAGCCCUGAAGGCAGGGUCCAGUGAUAUCUUUGGGUCCAUGAUAUCUUUGUAUCAUCACUGUCUCACACAACU
This 349-nucleotide long non-coding RNA is filed under the name Dasypus novemcinctus (nine-banded armadillo). Its description in RNAcentral is "lncRNA (ENSDNOG00000051599.1)". Lineage: Eukaryota; Metazoa; Chordata; Mammalia; Cingulata; Dasypodidae. The record is from RNAcentral.